CGGGGGGAGCAAGCGUUGUUCGGAUUUACUGGGCGUAAAGGGCGCGUAGGCGGCACCGCAAGUCGACUGUGAAAUCUCCGGGCUUAACUCGGAAAGGUCAGCCGAUACUGCGGGGCUAGAGUGCAGAAGGGGCAACUGGAAUUCUCGGUGUAGCGGUGAAAUGCGUAGAUAUCGAGAGGAACACCUGCGGCGAAGGCGGGUUGCUGGGCUGACACUGACGCUGAUGCGCGAAAGCUAGGGGAGCGAACGGGAUUAGAUACCCCGGUAGUCCUAGCCUUAAGCGAUGAAUGCUUGGUGUCGUGGGUUUAUAGGUCCCCGGUGCCGUCGCUAACGCUUUAAGCAUUCCGCCUGGGGAGUACGGUCGCAAGACUG
Molecule: ribosomal RNA, 372 nt
Filed under: uncultured organism
Description: bacterial SSU rRNA
Rfam family: Bacterial small subunit ribosomal RNA
Source: RNAcentral